RNAcentral lists this ribosomal RNA (376 nucleotides) under uncultured Glomeromycotina. RNAcentral's name for it is "LSU rRNA". Lineage: Eukaryota; Fungi; Glomeromycota. The record is from RNAcentral.
UUGAAAGGGAAACGAUUGAAGUCAGUCAUACCAACGGGAAGUCAACCUUUUGAGCUUGGUCUCGUGGGUUUUGAAGAGUUUCAAAGCCUUCGGAUUCGCGGGAUUGGGAUCUCUUGGUGUACUUUUUCGUACGGUUAGUCAACAUCGGUUUUGAAUGUCAUAAAAUGACUGGAGGAAUGUAGCUUCGAUCUCGUAUUGAAGUGUUAUAGCCUUUGGUAGAUGUGAUGUUUGAGACCGAGGAUUGCAACGGAUACCCUUCAGGGCUAUUCGUCUGAUCUCUGAUACGUUGCCUUGAUGUUGAAAGCUUGCUUAUGAUGUUAGGGUAUUACGGUCAAAAGGUUAGAACCGAAUCACCNNGCUUAAGGAUGUUGACGUA